GCAAAAGAUGUAGUGAGUAAGAAGCAUAUCGUUUUUCACAAGAAAUAAGGGGAAGAUCAUCAAACAAUACAUGAACAACGAAUCGUAUAUAUGCUAAGUGAGAUGCAUUUCGCAAAGGAGGAGCAAACUCGUACGUAAUGUUUGGAACGUUUCCUUUGUGUAGUGAAUCGUAGUGAAUCUUUGCAUAAUUGAUACUCAAAUAGUUCUCUCUCAGCUAUUUGAGUAAGAAGCAUAUCUUUUUUCAUCAGUUUUUUCUCCAGUUUCACAAGUUGUUCUGCGAAGAACAACUGGCAGCAGAAAUGCACUAUCUGUAGCCACCUAUUUUACUCAAAUGGAAGGUUUUGAUGCAGAAGUUUCUGGUUGGUGUUAUCUUGAUGGUCCCUUGCUAUGCCAUUGAAUCGGAGGGAGACUUUUAAUCAUCUGGCAGGCCAACAUAUCACCUUCCAAUUUCAGAAGUUUCAUGUUUUGUAAUCAAAUGUUGAUGUACAUUGUUUGAAUGUUAGUUCGGUACGAUAUUUUCUGAGUUGAAAUGUUGGUAGUGUGGAUUUAAUACUUUGUAGUUUUUAUACUAUACUGAUGUAUGUUGGCACUUAUCAUUAUGGUUGAUUAUGCUCAACAUAAUCACUUUUAUAUUGUGUAUUAAAAUUUGACUUGGCCAUGUUCUUAAAAAGAUUGUCCAGGUAAUUGAAUACUAUAAUUAUUUUGACGUAGGAA
This is a long non-coding RNA of Asparagus officinalis (garden asparagus), 714 nucleotides long. RefSeq lists it as uncharacterized. The record is from RefSeq and is a predicted model, not a curated record. The transcript has 5 exons. NCBI's taxonomy places the organism in Eukaryota, Viridiplantae, Streptophyta, Magnoliopsida, Asparagales, Asparagaceae.